CUGAAUUUACUUGCUUCAUUGUUAGAAAAGCUUCUGUUGAGGACUUUGUGAGGCUUCCCUGAAAAUUUGAGGUUAAUGAGAUAUUAGGGUGCUGACUUUUGUUAAAGGGGAAAGGGAAAUGGAAAGGGAAGGGAGAGGAGAGGAAAAGGAAAUGGAAAAAGAAAAAGGAAAAAAAGAAGGAUGAAGGGGGAAAGGGCUGGCGGAUAAACACAAGUGCCAGGAAGGAGAGGAGAAAAAUAAGAGAAUCUCCAGCCUUUUAAUUUAGUUUGUACGUGUGUUAAUGCUCCAGAAAAUCAGUUCUUUAACAGUCUUUCAUUCUCAGAGUGCUUAAAUGGCACCCUGCCUGAAGUGAACCAGAAAAUUGCUGACUUGGAAUGAGAACCAGAAAGAUACCAUAGCAUUAACCCGGUGACUACAGACAAGAAAAAUCUGGUGCUGCAGUAUCAUCUGGUAGUUCAGUUAAGCAGUAUUUGCUUCUUCCAGGGCCCAUGCUGUAAGAACAGUGGCUUCUGGUCCCAUGUACUACAGUCUGUGUACUGGAAAUUAGUGAUUUUUUAGUAUUGCAGUGGGAAGGGAUAGGGGGAACCCCAAUGCCCUUAAAGCUGAAAGAAAAACUUGCAGUACUUUAUGAAGUAGUUGUGGUUUCUGUCAGCAUUUAACAUCCAUGUGUGUGAGCACAUAUAUUAGGUAAGGAAGAUGAAAAGAAGAAGGGCCGGAAGUGAAAUGAGGACAAGAACCCUGGAGGAAAUGCUGGGAGAAUGUAGAGUUACAAUUCUGAACUGGAUAAAAACCUGUAGCUAACAUAGGUUUCAAACACCAUACAGGGCAGCGAGGAACUGAGCGCUUUUGUGGGCUUUUUUAGUUGUUAAAUGCACUGAAAAAUUUUGAAUUUCCAAACAAAUACUGAGACCUGAACAGCUCCAGAUGAGAGAAUCACCUCCCUGAGAUGCUCAAAGACAAAGGCACAUAUGUUUCCUCUACAAAUGCUUCAGGGGGUUGUUAUUGAGGGGGGAAAAAAAAUGAUGCUAAGCUCUGGUCAGGACGUGCCCUGCCUGUAACACAGGGGUCGUAAUCUUCACCUUCCUAGGAGGAACCUCUACAUUUCAGAACAGCUGUGUGCCUGAGUUCUGCUUGGACUAAGCAGGAUUACUACUGUAGUAAUACAUUGGAAAACUAAGCUGUCUGGUUUAUCUAGGGUCUCACAGUGAUUCUCCAAUCAGAGGGAAGCCCUGACAGCUCCUUUCCCUGAGGCAGAGACUCGGAAAAGGCCAGGCCGCCCAUCCCUGCCUUGGUGUGCAAGGUGAACGCACAGCCCUGUGUGCCUGGUUGCUGUGUGCACAGAUGCUAACGUGUGCACAGCCUCACCGUUGGUAGGGCUUGGGAAUCAGGAGUUCAGAAAGCUUCUCCAGGAGUUUGAGAGCAAGAGAAAGAGGUUCAGCAUCUGAUUUUUUUGUGUGUGGGAUUCGCCUCAAGGAUCGUUCCUUCUUUGCAUGUUUUUACUACAUUUCAUUUCUUGCCAGACUUCAUUUCCUCAAAAAAAAUUAAAAUAAUUUUUUUUAAAUGCUGUGGAAUUUCCUCACUGCACCAACCAUCCUGGCUAUUCUAGCAGGAGCUCUUCAUGGUUACUUCUCCACUUACAUCAGCCAGCUGAAGAAACACAAGAACAGCUGCUUCACCGCACUGCAAAGAAUGCUGCUUUCCUCCUGCUUGGCUGUGGCAGAUUCCACCACCAGGAGGCUCUCAUUAAAGCACAUCUAACCAGGCAAAGAGAACGCAAGAAAAUGAGAUGGAGAAACCCAUCCCCACGGGAAUAAUCUGAAACUAAUACUUAUCCUAUAAAUAGAGAUUUUCGGACUGCUGUGCAGGCAUCUAUUAAUUAACUCUUGCAGGAAUCCUAAUAUACAACCAUCAGUUGUACCAUAGUUUUUGAGGAUACUGGGGUGUCAUGGGUGGUAUCCCAGCAUUGAAUCACUUAGUGAUACCCAGGAAAGUUGAUACCUCUGUCUUCUGGAUAGUAAAGCUCUUAAUACAGUAAGUAAAAUAAUUAAAUGGAGGAAAAGCACUGUUUUGAUUUCUCCUCCCUCACGUCUGCCCUCUAUCUUUCACCCAAGGAAUGAUCUAAAUUACCUCUGCCUUCUCACUUUUAGUUACUUAUGCUUGGCUUCUUAAUUUUCUUUCACUUUUCACAGCAGGCUUUGAUUGUCUCCUAAAAGUUCUAAAUAUCUACACUAACAGUCCAUCUGAUUCUUCUCUUUUGCUAACAUGACCUUCUUUAAAGAAAAGCAGAAGAAGAAAUGUUUUGAGGCCAUGAUGUUCUAUGUAGAGUUCCCAGGCCUCCAAAGAGGUUUUCCAAUCGUUGCUCACCAUUCUUGCCACACUGUUCACCUUUAAGAGUUUAAGCAAACAGACAUGUUGUUCAGCCACUCACAUACUCUGGAUAGAAUCCAUUGUUUCCUGACAGAGUUUGCCACGAGGUUGUCCUCAGUGACCGGGAGACUGGUGGUUCAGAGGACACGUGAAGUCCACACAGCAGUCAAAGCUUCUGUUAAGCUCUGUCUCACUUUGUUCCUAUUACCUGGCUUCUCCUUGCUUGCUUCCUGUCUUUCUUCUAAUUCUUACUUUCACAGUCAUCUCUUUCUAUGGAUCACUUAAGAUGUCCUUUGCAGGAAAUGCUGAAACACGAAGCCUCCAGCCUGUAGAUUCCCAAUUAGCAGAUGCAAGGAGGUUAUACCAGGGAAAGGAUCACUCUGUGUGGGUUGGUUUCUUCUUGUAACACUCCACAGCUGCCUGCUGCUGGACACAAGACAUUCGGCCUUUGGGCUGCGUCGCUGUGGGAUUUAUGUGGGAGAGCAAAUGGCCUGCUUUCUGAAUGCCCUUCUAAGCUUAUUUUAUCUCAUGCCUUAGACAAAUAUCAACUGUUCUUUUCCUGUAGAAACAAGUGAUGCUGCAUUAUGAGAAAAUGUGAAGCUUCGUGCAUAUAGCACACUAUGAAGGUGUAAGGGAAGUGCUAAGUAUUCUUUUCUCUUCCAUGUUCUUUCACCAUUCCUUCUUUCUCUCCACUUAGGCACAGUACCAGCCCCAAGAAGCUACAUUGACUGGGACUAUUCCCAGUUGAAACCAGAAAUAUUCAAGAAGAGCAAUCUGAUGUCACCAGAGGGAGAGCUGUGAGAACACCGAUGUAGGCCUCUCUCCCUAGGUCCUGCUAAUCUAAAUAAGAGUGUAGUAACCAGACUGUGUGAUGGUUUUUCUCCUCAGGAUGCCUUGAUCUGCAGGUCUUACUCUAUGCUGAUUAUUUCUGUUAGGAAGGUGUGCCUGUGGAUGGCCUUUUGUGGGAAACUGCCCCCCUGUACCGGCUUGCAACACCUUUUAUCAAAGGCAAACAUUGGAAAUAAUGUGGGCUUUUGAUGAUGUGUCUGCAGUGGCAUGAGAAUGGACUCUGUGGCCCAGGAAGUCCUUUCCAGUCCUGGGAAUGUGCUGCAAGCUCAUAGGCAGAUGAGGUGACUUUUCAGACUUCUGGGGAAUGCAGAUGGCUGCUCACCCGUGGCCUGAACUAGCCUGGUGUAAAAGCUAUUCAGGGACACCAGGAGAUUUAGAAUCCAUUCCUAUGAGACCUGCAAAAGCCAGGUACUGUAGUACUUAGAGUAGUAAAUGGGAGAUUUCAUUGUUUUGGUUUGGUUCCCCUUUCUUAAUUCUGAGUUGUUACCUGAGGUAGCAAGGGAUGAAAAUAAGAGACAUAUUAGGACCAGGUAGAAGGUGGCCUUGAUAGAUCAACAGCUGUAAAGACGUGGAUGGUGUCAGUGUGUUCAACAGCAGUAAAGCAGUAUCUUCACUGGUUCUCAAGGGAAAAAGAACCCUGAAAAUACAAAUUUUGAAUUUGCAUUGAACGCACAAGCAAAACUGAGGGCACUCUCUCUGCACAAACUUGGUUCAAAGUCUUGGAUUUCAAACUUAUUAACUGUGUUUUCAUGUCACCUCCCUUCCUCAGAUUCCUUCACAAUGACAAGCAGACCAGAGAAGACUGGACAAGAAUGUGAGAUAAAUAUAGGUUCACCAAGAUGUGCAGCCAGCCAGUGGAUGUGUCACAGAAGCUAAAGCUUUCAUUAAGUAUCCGUUGCUGACUGCUUCAUCUUGUUCCUAUUACUAAAAAGUUUGUUGCUUGGGAUUUUUUUAUCAGUUUGCCAGAUGACAGGGAAAAGGAGUUUUUCCUUAAUGGUUCAGAAAUAAUUCCUCAAAGUUAUCAGCAAUCUUCUCCUUUUGUAAGUUUGCUGGUUAGGGAUUCUUGCUCACUUGCAGGUCAUCAUUCCACAGGCAACACUCACUGUCUGUAUUGUACUCUCCAGCCAGGAUACAGCAGACAUUUCCUUUAGAAAAGUACUAAGCAAAGAACGUGCCACAGGGAAAAUGAUACUUCACUUUGAUUUAUGCACUAAGUGCUUAAAUGUUAUGAAGAAUUCUUUUUUUUUAAUGUUACUGGGAGGGAAGGGGUGUCAUAUUUAGCAACUAGCUCCUAGCUCACACAUCUAUGUAAUUCAAUUCAUUUUGGAAAUAAAAGCUGAUGAAAAUCUGA
Molecule: long non-coding RNA, 4567 nt
Organism: Apus apus (common swift)
Lineage: Eukaryota; Metazoa; Chordata; Aves; Apodiformes; Apodidae
Exons: 2
Source: RefSeq, a predicted model, not a curated record